AGUGAACGCUGGCGGUAGGCCUAACACAUGCAAGUCGAACGGCAGCACAGUAAGAGCUUGCUCUUACGGGUGGCGAGUGGCGGACGGGUGAGGAAUACAUCGGAAUCCACUUUUUCGUGGGGGAUAACGUAGGGAAACUUACGCUAAUACCGCAUACGACCUACGGGUGAAAGCAGGGGAUCUUCGGACCUUGCGCGAUUGAAUUAGCCGAUGUCGGAUUAGCUAGUUGGCGGGGUAAAGGCCCACCAAGGCAACGAUCCGUAGCUGGUCUGAGCGGAUGAUCGGCCACACUGGAACUGAGACACGGUCCAGACUCCUACGGGAGGCAGCAGUAGGGAAUCUUGCGCAAUGGGCGAAAGCCUGACGGAGCAACGCCGCGUGAGUGAUGAAGGUCUUCGGAUCGUAAAACUCUGUUAUUAGGGAAGAACAAAUGUGUAAGAAACUAUGCAUGUCUUGACGGUACCUAAAGAGAAAGCCACGGCUAACUACGUG
RNAcentral lists this ribosomal RNA (492 nucleotides) under uncultured bacterium. RNAcentral describes it as "partial 16S ribosomal RNA". It matches the Rfam family "Bacterial small subunit ribosomal RNA", at positions 29 to 507 of the family's 1533-position model. The record is from RNAcentral.